CACGUAGGGGACGAGCGUUGUUCGGAUUCAUUGGGCGUAAAGGGUGCGUAGGCGGCGCGGUAAGUCGGGUGUGAAAUCUUGGAGCUUAACUCCGAAACUGCAUUCGAUACUGCCGUGCUUGAGGACUGGAGAGGAGACUGGAAUUUACGGUGUAGCGGUGAAAUGCGUAGAUAUCGUAAGGAAGACCAGUGGCGAAGGCGGGUCUCUGGACAGUUCCUGACGCUGAGGCACGAAGGCCAGGGGAGCAAACGGG
This 253-nucleotide ribosomal RNA is filed under the name uncultured bacterium. RNAcentral's name for it is "partial 16S ribosomal RNA". It matches the Rfam family "Bacterial small subunit ribosomal RNA", at positions 524 to 776 of the family's 1533-position model. The record is from RNAcentral.